UAUGGAGGAGUUGGAGGGAGGAGGCUGUGCUUUGGUGACAUUUAUGAAAGAACCAUAACACCUAGACAAUAGUAAACACAUUGGAUGAAAGAGGACAGCGAUGGCUACGUUUUGAGGGUAAAAUCAUACCUGUAGACAAACACGUGGACACAGCAGCAGUUUUAAAAAAUAUUUAAGAUUAAUUUUUUCGCUCCUCUCACUCUAGCAGUUGAGCCUUCUCACUCUAGCCCCAACAUUCCGUCCCAUACACACCCAUUAUAAACUCUGAAACGGCUGAAAAAACAUCAUGAAACUUAAACUGGAACUGAAGAAAAGUAUAAAGAUAUUGAAAAGAUAAAUACAAGUUGAAUAGUUGAAUGUCUUGUCUUCGUUUUAAAGUUUGAAUGGUGGCUCUAUGUCAAUAUGUGAAGUAGAUACAGUUUGAAAAUGAGUAAUUGAAUGAGGAUUUGAAGGGUCUCCCCAUUGAAAUACAUGGGAAAUUUUUGUUGAAAAAAGUUGAAUAAAUAAAAAUAUAAAUGUUAAAAUGAGAAAAUAGAAGCAGUCAUGUCCAAAAGAAGAGGAAUCUAAUGGUGUUUGAAUGGUUUUUCUAAGUUGAACGGUUUUGAAGGAGUAAGAGUACAAAAAACGUACGGAAUAGAUAAUAAAAUAGAAUAAAGAUUACAACAACAAUACUGUGAAUGCUUUUACAAGCAUUCACACUAAUGAAUGCUUUUACAAGCAUUCACACUAAUUACAACAACAAUACUGUGAAUGCUUUUACAAGCAUUCACACUAACUAGAAAGUGCAUUUUCUGAAGAAACUGCAGUGUGAAUGCUUGA
Molecule: long non-coding RNA, 819 nt
Filed under: Oreochromis niloticus (Nile tilapia)
Lineage: Eukaryota; Metazoa; Chordata; Actinopteri; Cichliformes; Cichlidae
Description: lncRNA (ENSONIG00000027208.1)
Source: RNAcentral